UAUAAACCACUGCACAGUAAAUUGCAUUUGAAUGACAGCACUGGAUCAUGAUGGACCACAGCCCCACUAGUGUUUGAAUGUUGUAAUAACAUUAGUCGAUCCAGCUGCAGGGCGGUAGUGAGGAAGGGGAGACUGAGGAGAAAAGUCGAGUGCACCUCAUGCCUCGGCAUCAUCUUGAAGCUGAGUUGGCUUUGACGUGCCUUCCGAACUUGCUUUGGGAUUUCAACAUGUGACGGACUCUGCAGAAGGAGGAACCACCUAGAAUGCCAGCUAUUAAGAAGGUGUUGUUGCCAGGCAUUUUUCAGAAGCAUUGCUGUAUCUUCCCAAACAGGAAUGCGGUUUGAAAGAGCCCGCUAUGAUGCGACGAGUUAUCGCAAGCCUUGGGAUGAUCAUGGAUGAAAGUGAAGAAAAGAAAGAAAUAUUCAGGUGCGAUUGCAUGCAGCUUCCAUCCUGUAAAUAAAACCUCGAUUGCUGUCGAGAUCUGAUACAAUUUGUCUAUGCAUUGCUUUGCUCAUUUAUUUGAAUUUGGGUUGUAUUAUCAUCGUAUCAACA
Molecule: long non-coding RNA, 552 nt
Organism: Syngnathus typhle (broad-nosed pipefish)
Lineage: Eukaryota; Metazoa; Chordata; Actinopteri; Syngnathiformes; Syngnathidae
Exons: 3
Source: RefSeq, a predicted model, not a curated record